This 70-nucleotide transfer RNA is filed under the name Podarcis lilfordi (Lilford's wall lizard). Its description in RNAcentral is "tRNA.Asn". The stretch from base 4 to 62 matches the Rfam family "tRNA", at positions 8 to 63 of the family's 71-position model. From Rfam's summary of the family: Transfer RNA (tRNA) molecules are approximately 80 nucleotides in length. The record is from RNAcentral. Lineage: Eukaryota; Metazoa; Chordata; Lepidosauria; Squamata; Lacertidae.
UAAUAAUACAAUGGGUCAGCAUGUCUGGCUGUUAGCCAGAAGGUUGGUGGUUCGAGUCCACCCAGGGAAG